UACGGAGGGGGCAAGCGUUAUUCGGAAUCAUUGGGCGUAAAGGGCGCGUAGGCGGCUUGGCAAGUCAAAGGUGAAAUCCCUCGGCCUAACCGAGGAACUGCCUUUGAAACUGCUUGGCUUGAGGCCGGGAGAGGGUAGCGGAAUUCCCAGUGUAGCGGUGAAAUGCGUAGAUAUUGGGAGGAACACCAGUGGCGAAGGCGGCUACCUGGACCGGUUCUGACGCUGAGGCGCGAAAGCGUGGGGAGCAAACAGGAUUAGAUACCCUGGUAGUCCACGCCGUAAACGAUGGGUACUCGGUGUCGCGGGUAUCGACCCCUGCGGUGCCUUAGCUAACGCGUUAAGUACCCCGCCUGGGGAGUACGGUCGCAAGGCUGAA
This 376-nucleotide ribosomal RNA is filed under the name uncultured bacterium. Its description in RNAcentral is "bacterial SSU rRNA". It matches the Rfam family "Bacterial small subunit ribosomal RNA", at positions 524 to 898 of the family's 1533-position model. The record is from RNAcentral.